This 499-nucleotide ribosomal RNA is filed under the name uncultured bacterium. Its description in RNAcentral is "partial 16S ribosomal RNA". It matches the Rfam family "Bacterial small subunit ribosomal RNA", at positions 28 to 507 of the family's 1533-position model. The record is from RNAcentral.
GACGAACGCUGGCGGCGUGCCUAAUACAUGCAAGUCGAGCGAAGUUUUUCUGGUGCUUGCACCGGAAAAACUUAGCGGCGAACGGGUGAGUAACACGUAAAGAACCUGCCUCAUAGACUGGGACAACUAUUGGAAACGAUAGCUAAUACCGGAUAAUAGCAUUAACUGCAUGGUUGAUGUUUAAAAGUUGGUUUUGCUAACACUAUGAGAUGGCUUUGCGGUGCAUUAGCUAGUUGGUGGGGUAAAGGCCUACCAAGGCGACGAUGCAUAGCCGACCUGAGAGGGUGAUCGGCCACACUGGGACUGAGACACGGCCCAGACUCCUACGGGAGGCAGCAGUAGGGAAUCUUCCGCAAUGGGCGAAAGCCUGACGGAGCAACGCCGCGUGAGUGAAGGAGGAUUUCGGUUCGUAAAGCUCUGUUGUUAGGGAAGAAUGAUUGUGUAGUAACUAUACACAGUAGAGACGGUACCUAAACAGAAAGCCACGGCUAACUACGUG